This 725-nucleotide ribosomal RNA is filed under the name uncultured bacterium. RNAcentral's name for it is "bacterial SSU rRNA". It matches the Rfam family "Bacterial small subunit ribosomal RNA", at positions 771 to 1501 of the family's 1533-position model. The record is from RNAcentral.
AACAGGAUUAGAUACCCUGGUAGUCCACGCCCUAAACGAUGUCAACUGGUUGUUGGGAAGGUUCCUUCUCAGUAACGUAGCUAACGCGUGAAGUUGACCGCCUGGGGAGUACGGCCGCAAGGUUGAAACUCAAAGGAAUUGACGGGGUCCCGCACAAGCGGUGGAUGAUGUGGUUUAAUUCGAUGCAACGCGAAAAACCUUACCUACCCUUGACAUGUCAAGAAUUUCGCAGAGAUGUGGAAGUGCUCGAAAGAGAACUUGAACACAGGUGCUGCAUGGCCGUCGUCAGCUCGUGUCGUGAGAUGUUGGGUUAAGUCCCGCAACGAGCGCAACCCUUGUCAUUAGUUGCUACGAAAGGGCACUCUAAUGAGACUGCCGGUGACAAACCGGAGGAAGGUGGGGAUGACGUCAGGUCCUCAUGGCCCUUAUGGGUAGGGCUACACACGUCAUACAAUGGCCGGUACAGAGGGUCGCCAACCCGCGAGGGGGAGCCAAUCCCAGAAAACCGGUCGUAGUCCGGAUCGCAGUCUGCAACUCGACUGCGUGAAGUCGGAAUCGCUAGUAAUCGCGGAUCAGCUUGCCGCGGUGAAUACGUUCCCGGGUCUUGUACACACCGCCCGUCACACCAUGGGAGCGGGUUCUGCCAGAAGUAGUUAGCCUAACCGCAAGGGGGGCGAUUACCACGGCAGGGUUCGUGACUGGGGUGAAGUCGUAACAAGGUAACC